This 1476-nucleotide ribosomal RNA is filed under the name metagenome. RNAcentral describes it as "bacterial SSU rRNA". It matches the Rfam family "Bacterial small subunit ribosomal RNA". The record is from RNAcentral.
AAGUCGAACGAAAGCCAGUCUGUAGCAAUAUAGGCUGGUGAAAGUGGCGGAAGGGUGAGGAACACGUGGAUAACCUGCCUUUGAGUUGGGGAUAACCCCGCGAAAGCGGGACUAACACCGGAUAUGAUGGUUUGCCGCAUGGUGGAUUAAUCAAAGAUGGGGAGCCGCAAGGCCCUGUCGCUCAAAGAGGGGUCCGCGUCCUAUCAGCUUGUUGGCGGGGUAACGGCCCACCAAGGCUUACGGGUAGCUGGUCUGAGAGGAUGGUCAGCCACACUGGGACUGAGACACUGCCCAGACUCCUACGGGAGGCUGCAGUCGAGGAUCAUUCGCAAUGGGCGCAAGCCUGACGGUGCGACGCUGCGUGGAGGAUGAAGGCCUUCGGGUUGUAAACUCCUGUCGUGUGGGAACAAUAGUCUGGCCGUUAACACCGGCUGGAAAUGAUAGUACCGCAAAAGGAAGCCACGGCUAACUCUGUGCCAGCAGCCGCGGUAAUACAGAGGUGGCGAGCGUUGUUCGGAUUUACUGGGCGUAAAGGGUGCGUAGGUGGCUUUGUAUGUCGGGCGUGAAAUCCCACUGCUCAACGGUGGAACGCCGCCCGAAACUGCAGGGCUCGAGUGCAGGAGAGGAGAGCGGAAUUCUUGGUGUAGCGGUGGAAUGCGUUGAUAUCAAGAAGAACACCAGUGGCGUAGGCGGCUCUCUGGAAUGCAACUGACACUGAGGCACGAAAGCGUGGGGGGCAAACAGGAUUAGAUACCCUGGUAGUCCACGCCCUAAACGGUGCACACUUGGUGUAGGAGGAAUUGACCCCUUCUGUGCCGGAGCUAACGCGUUAAGUGUGCCGCCUGGGGAGUACGGUCGCAAGAUUAAAACUCAAAGAAAUUGACGGGGGCCCGCACAAGCGGAGGAGCAUGUGGCUUAAUUCGAUGCUACGCGAAGAACCUUACCAGGGUUUGACAUGCAGCUGCACGUCCCAUGAAAGUGGGAUUCCUUCGAGGGUGCUGCACAGGUGCUGCAUGGCUGUCGUCAGUUCGUGCCGUGAGGUGUUGGGUUAAGUCCCGCAACGAACGCAACCCUUGUAUUUAGUUGCCACCGUCGGCGCAAGCCGGCGCGCACUCUAAAUAGACUGCCCGUGAUAAGCGGGAGGAAGGUGGGGAUGACGUCAAGUCAGUAUGGCCUUUAUACCCUGGGCUGCACACGUGCUACAAUGGUCGGUACAGAGGGAUGCGAGUCCGCGAGGUGGAGCCAAUCCCAGAAAACCGGCCCCAGUUCGGAUUGAUGGCUGCAACUCGCCAUCAUGAAGUUGGAUUCGCUAGUAAUGGCGCAUCAGCUACGGCGCCGUGAAUACGUUCCCGGGCCUUGUACACACCGCCCGUCACAUCAUGAAAGCCGUCUGCACCCGAUGUCACUGUACCAACCCGCAAGGGGGGGAGGUGCCUAAGGUGUGGGUGGUGAUUGGGAUGAAGUCGUAACAAGGUA